CCUACGGGCGGCAGCAGUCGGGAAUAUUGCACAAUGGAGGAAACUCUGAUGCAGUGACGCCGCGUGCAUGAAGAAGGAUUUCGGUUUGUAAACUGCUUUCGACAGGGAAGAAACAAGACGGUACCUGUCAAAUAAGCCCCGGCUAACUACGUGCCAGCAGCCGCGGUAAUACGUAGGGGGCAAGCGUUAUCCGGAUUUAUUGGGUGUAAAGGGUGCGUAGACGGGAAGGCAAGCCAGUUGUGAAAUCCCUCGGCUUAACCGAGGAACUGCAACUAAAACUAUCUGUCGUGAGUGCUGGAGAGGAAAGUGGAAUUCCUAGUGUAGCGGUGAAAUGCGUAGAUAUUAGGAGGAACACCAGUGGCGAAGGCGACCUUCUGGACAGUAACUGACGUUGAGGCACGAAAGUGUGGGGAGCAAACAGGAUUAGAUACCCCUGUAGUC
Molecule: ribosomal RNA, 441 nt
Filed under: uncultured bacterium
Lineage: Bacteria
Description: partial 16S ribosomal RNA
Rfam family: Bacterial small subunit ribosomal RNA
Source: RNAcentral